GUGGGGAAUAUUGGACAAUGGGCGAAAGCCUGAUCCAGCCACGCCGCGUGUGUGAUGAAGGUCUUCGGAUCGUAAAGCACUGUGGAGAGGGAAGAACAGCCAGCGGGAAUAAUACCCCGUUGGUCCGACGGUACCUCUUUAGCAAGCACCGGCCAACUCCGUGCCAGCAGCCGCGGUAAUACGGAGGGUGCAAACGUUGCUCGGAAUCAUUGGGCGUAAAGCGCGUGUAGGCGGCUCGUUAAGUUGAGUGUGAAAGCCCUGGGCUUAACCCAGGAAGUGCGCUCAAAACUGGCGAGCUAGAGUACGGGAGAGGGUAGUGGAAUUCCCGGUGGAGAGGUGAAAUUCGUAGAUAUCGGGAGGAACACCAGUGGCGAAGGCGGCUACCUGGACCGAUACUGACGCUGAGACGCGAAAGCGUGGGUAGCAAACAGGAUUAGAUACCCUGGUAGUCC
Molecule: ribosomal RNA, 452 nt
Filed under: uncultured bacterium
Lineage: Bacteria
Description: bacterial SSU rRNA
Rfam family: Bacterial small subunit ribosomal RNA
Source: RNAcentral